ACAUCCAGAGAACUUAGCAGAGAUGCUUUGGUGCCUUCGGGAACUCUGAGACAGGUGCUGCAUGGCUGUCGUCAGCUCGUGUUGUGAAAUGUUGGGUUAAGUCCCGNAACGAGCGCAACCCUUAUCCUUUGUUGCCAGCGGUUCGGCCGGGAACUCAAAGGAGACUGCCGGUGAUAAACCGGAGGAAGGUGGGGAUGACGUCAAGUCAUCAUGGCCCUUACGGCCAGGGCUACACACGUGCUACAAUGGCGCAUACAAAGAGAAGCGACCUCGCGAGAGCAAGCGGACCUCAUAAAGUGCGUCGUAGUCCGGAUCGGAGUCUGCAACUCGACUCCAUGAAGUCGGAAUCGCUAGUAAUCGUAGAUCAGAAUGCUACGGUGAAUACGUUCCCGGGCCUUGUACACACCGCCCGUCACACCAUGGGAGUGGGUUGCAAAAGAAGUAGGUAGCUUAACCUUCGGGAGGGCGCUUACCACUUUGUGAUUCAUGACUGGGGUGAAGUCGUAACAAGGUAAGCGUAGCGAG
Molecule: ribosomal RNA, 525 nt
Filed under: uncultured bacterium
Lineage: Bacteria
Description: bacterial SSU rRNA
Rfam family: Bacterial small subunit ribosomal RNA
Source: RNAcentral